This 442-nucleotide ribosomal RNA is filed under the name uncultured bacterium. Its description in RNAcentral is "partial 16S ribosomal RNA". It matches the Rfam family "Bacterial small subunit ribosomal RNA", at positions 338 to 795 of the family's 1533-position model. The record is from RNAcentral.
CCUACGGGUGGCAGCAGUGGGGAAUAUUGGGCAAUGGACGCAAGUCUGACCCAGCAACGCCGCGUGAAGGAAGAAGGCUUUCGGGUUGUAAACUUCUUUUAAGGGGGAAGAGCAGAAGACGGUACCCCUUGAAUAAGCCACGGCUAACUACGUGCCAGCAGCCGCGGUAAUACGUAGGUGGCAAGCGUUGUCCGGAUUUACUGGGUGUAAAGGGCGUGUAGCCGGGCUGACAAGUCAGAUGUGAAAUCCCGUGGCUCAACCACGGAACUGCAUUUGAAACUGUCGGUCUUGAGUAUCGGAGAGGCAGGCGGAAUUCCUAGUGUAGCGGUGAAAUGCGUAGAUAUUAGGAGGAACACCAGUGGCGAAGGCGGCCUGCUGGACGACAACUGACGGUGAGGCGCGAAAGCGUGGGGAGCAAACAGGAUUAGAUACCCUUGUAGUC